RNAcentral lists this long non-coding RNA (563 nucleotides) under Gallus gallus (chicken). RNAcentral describes it as "lncRNA (ENSGALG00010023725.1)". Lineage: Eukaryota; Metazoa; Chordata; Aves; Galliformes; Phasianidae. The record is from RNAcentral.
CCAAUGUGCACUCGCUGAAGAGAGAGCUGCUUGUGGUUAACACCUCCCUUGCUUCAUGUUUGACUUUGAGGUUUUCUACGCCUACAUGUUUCUGCUGCUGAUUGUGUGAAGCUUGAGAGCUCAUGGCUGAAGUUUUGCAAGAGUGCCUGGUGUGCGCAUAUCAGUGAGCAAAGCAGAGUUAUGGGCAUUUAAGGGGCCAUGUGCACUGUUUCACCAAGUAAGCUCCAAAAUUUUCGAAACUAGGAGAGCGAGCUGCAUUGGAUUAGCCUUACCAAAACAGAUGUGGUGCUGCUCUGCCAUCAGCAAAACAAAAGGCCUUGUUCAUCCUGUUUGUAUCUUUGCAGGCCUUCACACGGACAUCAAGGCAGCUUUAGCUCAAAGGCCCAAGCAGGAAAGAGCUGUAACUCAAUGCUGUGUUCACAUUGACUUGUUGCCCAACAGGAGAAACAAACCGGCAGGAAUUAAAUAUGCAUUCAAUGAAUCCUGCUGUGAAGUGUUUGUUAGCACGCCAACAUCCCAUGGCCACAUCAGCCUGUGUCUCAGGACCCAGCAGUGGGUAGCUG